Columba livia (rock pigeon) is the source of this 12391-nucleotide long non-coding RNA. RefSeq lists it as uncharacterized. The record is from RefSeq and is a predicted model, not a curated record. The transcript has 4 exons. Lineage: Eukaryota; Metazoa; Chordata; Aves; Columbiformes; Columbidae.
GAGAACCUAAUUUCUUUCUGCAUGUAUUAUCAGUCACUAAUAAUGAAAGAUCUAUACCAGGAAUUUGAGGACUAGUCUUACAAACCCUUAUGUAAUAUUUAUUAUUCAGGGUCACUGAAGUAAGAAGCUGCUCUGCCAGAGCUGGUGGUUUGCAACUAGCAAAAUCUAAUGUGACCAAUGAACUUAAUAUUAAAUACUUGAAGAAUCAGAACGGCCAUUACAAAUUCUGUCAACAGGACACAACUUGGAACAUCCAGUUUUCUUUCCUCAAGGCAAUAUUUGCUUUGAAGUGCUAUAUGGCAAUUGCAACAAAAAAGCAGCACAUGUACUUCAGUCAUUAUACACAAGACCACAGCUAUGGAGCAGAAUUCUCAGGAAGUGUUACCAGCUGGAAUGGUAUCCCUGUUAGUCACUCUGUGUUGUUCCUGUGAGCUAUUGGAAGUCCUAUUUUUCACUGAUUUCUCCUCUCUUUUUUGAACGUUUCAUCUUCAAGGUCAUGAAGUUGUCAAUUCCUGAUGCAAUGAAAGUACAGAUUUUCACAUCCUGCAAUGUUUUAGAUAAUAAUAAUUUUAUCAGGUCAGAGAGAAGCACAGAACUCUUAGUUCACAUUUGCCAAAGGCUGUCACUUCAACUAGCAGGAGCAGAAGCAUUGUAUCACCAAGAUUUUAAAGAGGUGUUUUCUAAGAAAAGCCCCCAGGAGAAUUUUUGAAUAUUUUCUCUGACAGGUGAGAUUUUUCUACUGAUUUUUCACAAUUUUACAUUUUUCUAGUUGACCUUUUGUCCUCUUAUUUUAAAUGAGUUCAAAAGGUCAGACUAAUUUUAAGCAGAGUUACAUCAGGACACAUUUUCAGCCAAAGUAACAAUUUUUAUGUGCAACAAACAAUAAUUUUCUGUUUUAAGAUUAUUAAUUGUCCAUUAUGUACUAUUUUAGUGGUUUGAAAUGAAAACAACAAUCAAAAGUAUAUGUGAUUGCAUUUCAGUGCAAGUAUCAAAAACGUUUUUUCUUUUGGAUUUGGAAAAAAAAUAUUUUUCUGUUUCAGUGACUGAAAUAACUUGGCAUUUUAGUGGUAUUUGUAGGUUAGGCAAUGGUUAAAAGUAUUUUGCAAAGAUGUUUCUGAUAGCUUUAUGGUGUCAUAUUUUUUCCCUUUUAUUAAUAUGUUUGAGAAUUCUUCUAGCCCUUAGUCUUUCUCCAGUCCUGUUUGUCAUGGAAGUAAAAUUAUAUAUGUUUAUAGCUUUUUUACUUUAUGUACUAUAGUUUAAAAAGGUUUGGAUUGCUGUGGCUUUUCUUAACAGAGAGGAAAAAUAGUGAGUAAUGUGGUUUUAACUCUUCUGAUUAAGUCACUCUGACCUGAUCACCAUUCUGUGGGUCAAAGGACUUCAUAUUCUACAUGAGGCUAAACUAGUAUAUACUUCUUUUUGUUUAUGACUCUGUGCAUAUAUAUAAGCACAAUGCUUUACUACUCACCCUUUUAAAACAAAAAAACUUGGGUUAAAGGGAGAAAACUAAUUUGACAGCAUUCUUCAUAAUCCUAUUAAGAUAUACAUUGAAUAAGCUACGGGUUGCCUGUCUAAUUUUGCUUUCUUGUUUAAGACAAGUUUAUUGUUGCCAAUUUUAGCUAUGUACCAUGUGAAUUUUCUUAAGAUAUUUUGUGAAUUAUUGCUCUAAUCUGAGUAUUUGCUCAUUGUUUUCCCAGAAGCACUUACUUCCUUAGAAGUGUUUUGUGCCUGUUGUACACCUUAUUUUUAUAAAUGUUCCAAACUCAGGUCUUAGUUUCUAUGCUAUGUUUUUGGGCAAAGAUCUGACUCAAACAGGAGUAGAGAAUGUUUCAGAUAUUCAAAUCCUAACAAAUGUCUGACUCUUCCAAAGACAUAAUUCAUGGGCUAAGUUCUUGACAACAGUCAGAUCUUAACAAAAUUCAAUUAACUCUUCCUGGUUUUGUUGUUGUUUGUUUGUUUUUAGACAGAUAAUACUUGGCUAAAAUGAAUAGAAUAUCUUUGAAAAUAGAAACCAUAAAUCGCUACUCUAUAGUAGUAUGAACUUGAAUUACUACCUGAUUAUAAAGAUUAAUUUGUGUAUUAAUUGAAUAAUGGAGAAAAGUUAUUGGAGUAAUGGAUAGAAUGCAAAAUGACCAAGUAAAAUAAUUUCGUAAUAUUAUCCUUUAUAACACCAGAAAUCCUUCUAUAAAUGUAUGUCAGAACUGAACAAUUACAUUUGGUUUUAUGACUAAUGAAUGAUUCCUCUAACCAACUGAAAUUGUGGAGGAACUGACUGGUGUCUUUCACCGCAAUGAAUAGUAAUUCGAUUGAUGUCAAUGAGGCAACACUAGAUUGAAAGGAGAUUAAAAUGAGACAUUGCCUGGCUAAAAACUGCAGACUAUUGUUUCCCAAGACAGACUCUUCCCAGAUCUAGGAGCAAUCUGUGAAUACUGAAAACUGAAUUCUACAGAUUGCAACUGCUUUGUUGAUUCUAUGUUUUUAAUACAUCCCAAAAUGUCCUUUAAAUUGUAGAGCUACAUAUCACUGAGAUUUCUUUUUAUAAUUAAUUGCCUAGAUUUUUUACUGUUGUUGUGGCACUGCCCCAUCAGCUUCCUUUGCAUCCAUGAGGUUGCUGUACUCUCACUCACUGUAAACAAAACAGUGUCCACUGAAGUGUGCAUCUGUAGAAAAAAGAUAUUUAUUGUAAUCCUAAUUAAUGAUCAUUUAGAAUGCUACAAGUCUUCUGUUCCUCCUUUGUCUUAUUUUGCUUUAAAAAUUUGCUUCUAUGAAUUGAAGACUAACUGAAACUGAAAACUGGAGUUACUUGAUAUGUUUCUUCUCAAACAAUUCUUUUACUCUUCAUAAAAAAUCUUCACAGAAAUUCGUAUAAUACAAUGAAAUGGCUGGGGUUUAUCAAAACUAGAUCAAAAUUCCACUUGGAAUGAAAACCCAGGGUUCAGGAAGACUGAAGCACAAUUCAAUUAAACAUUAUUCCAUUUGCCUUAGGGAAGCACUGCUUGUAUCAGUACAACAGUGUAGUCCUGUAUCUGCAGUGAGCAUGUCAGAUGGCUGUUCAGAAGAUAGGACUUUUUCUCCAAAAUGAGUUUGAUAAGAUGUAAGUUCAGGAAGAGAAAACUGAAUAUAGCUUAAGAGUCACUCACCUAAAAAUAAAGUAUUUCAACAAGCAGGAGGACUACAGCCCAGACAAGUAAAAACUUACCAGUAAAUAGAACUCAGUGCUAUAUGAAGUUCUUUCCCAAAAUGCUUCAGAUUAAAUUGUUUAUUUUGAUUAGUCAGCUAAUUAUAGUGUAAAUACUGUGUUAUUACUAGUGAUUAAGAAUUUUCAGUUAAGAUAAAAUAUUUCUAGUUACAAAAGUACUGAUUUCUUGAAAUAGAUUUUUUACAGAAACAUAUCUGUUUCAAUGUUGUUUUAAUGAAGUGUUGGCAAGCUUGGGGGGAAUAUUGUGUAUUGUCCUUUCUAUUCUGCCAGACACAGUAUAUUUUUUGAUGUUGAUGGGAACUGAAGGUGGGGUCUUGCAUUUUAAAUUAAAAAAAUAUAUAUAUCUGAACAUCUCCUCCACAGAAUGGACAGAGAUUUUUUUUCCUGCUUUCUGCAACUUAAAAUUAUUUCUAUGCAUUGAAAAAGCAAUAAAAACUUUUCAGUGCUUUGAAAUUUUCUGUAAGACAGGAAGAGUUCUAUUAACUUACAUGAGAUAAAUGUGUUAAAUAAUUUUUUUUCCUUUUUAUUAAUUUUACCUACAAUCAACACUAUGAUAAUAUAAGACUUUCUUUAAGGAACAACAGGGUUGAGCUUCAGGGUCAUGAGAAGAGUGGAAGGAUUUAUGCUACAUAACGACAGCACCCAGUUUUCCUGAUGCAUGCACUGGAGCAUAUUCCUUACUGAAUAAGACACAGAAAAUAAUGUGAAGGUUGAAAAGCAGUGCUGCUUGCCUUUCAUGUUUCCACCAAAAUUAUCCUGGUCUACUACACAUCCUCACAUUCUUUUGCAGACACAGAAAGUGCCCUCAGAUACACGCUUUGUCUUUUCUGUAUUAGCCUUGCUUAUGCCACGUAUCCAGCACCCCCUUAAUUAUAAUCUGAGUCUUGUAAGCUUCAUAUAAACAAAUUGGAAAUGUGCUGGACAAAGGAAAGAUCAUGACUGAAUGUGUUUCGGUCUUUAUUAUCUGCAAGACACUUCAUCUCCUUCAGGAGACAUCACUGUUACAAAGGAGGAAAAUACUGUUUUCUGUUCCCUAUUACUUAGAGAAUCUGAACAAGUGCAUUUGUGCUCACAUUUUGAUUAUAGAUGAAAAUUUGAGUACUCUUACAUCCCAAGAUCUGUGUUCAGGAGCUACAAAGAUAGUUAAAGGCACAGAUAUGUUCUUAGAGUUCAUUUGCACAGUGUUAGAAUUUAUGGAUAAGUUUUGGAGGAAAAAUUUUAAUGGAUAUAUGCAGAAACUGGUUGCAUAUAGCUUUUUUAAUUCUGGUACUCUACUGUAUUGUACAUUUUGUAAUAAUGUAGUACCAUUUCAAGUGGAUGCAUCUCAUAUUCACUCUGUGGAGUAAAAAAUCACAGUAUCUUGUUCAAAACAAUUGAGCAUCCAAUCUUCAGUGUGUGAGAACUGAAGGAAAACCAAAGAUAAUUUAUUUUACUUUAACUCUUGCAAAUGAAGAGUUAGAGCAAACUCUGACAAACUUUGCAAGCUCUAGUAAAUCUGCUUAUUUUUCUUUUCAGAAAAAAAAAAGAAAAGUAAUUUGGAUAAAGCAUUCUUUCUGAUAGAUAAAGAAAAAACAAACAAACAAACAAAAACAAACAAACAAAACCAAAGAAAAGCCGGUACAAUGGUACAAUCUCAAAAAAAGUAUUUAAUAGGAUGCAGUCCAGAUGUGAUGCUGAAAUCUUCCUACUUGGAUUUUAGUUCUAAUACUACUGAGUCAGAUGUAAUAGAUCUGACCUAAUAGCAUCAGGGAAAAUAUCAGUCAGGUGUGCAUCCCUUCAUGGAGGUGUUACACAGAUGCUUAGGCAUAGAAUUAAUAUUUAUCUUAGAAUACUGUAUUUAGUCAUAAUUUAACUGUGUGAAAUCAGUGCUUUAGUCAUGAAUGAUGCCAAAAUUUUUAUUUUUCCCUCAAAAAAUGAAAAGUUUUACUGUACUUUUGCCAGUAAGUUACCACUUGGUGACAUUUGUUUUACGUAUCUAGUAGGGCACCCUUAGCCAUUUGACAUGUUGCUCACAAAACUGGAAGUUUAGUUGGUCCCUGCAGAUGAAUAUGUCUUAACCUACAUAUGCCCAGAGCAGGGACCCUCCCGUGUAUCACUGAAUCUAACAGACUACAGGGCAAUUUUGAAAAUGUUAUGAAAUUAAAAGCCUUAGCAGGACAAAAACUCAGGAUCUUCUUAAUAAUCAAUUCCCACUGUAUCUCAGAACAUUAUUAACCAACUAUUCACAAAAAAGUCCCUAAGCUGGGACUGAGUCACCAUCUAACUUGUAAAGUAAUCAAAAUUUUAAAAAACCCACCACCUUCAGAAAAACCAUGCUGGUAUAACUGUUUUUAAUAGGCAUUUUUACUGAGUGGUUAGUUGUGAAUUAAAGUCAAUUGCUAAAAACCAUACAAAUUUGUUAACAGCCCAUUUUAUAGAAAUUAAUCUUGGAAAUUAUAUAUUCUGGUACCUGUGAAUCCUCAAAGAUGCUACUUAGGAUUACAUUAGGCUUAUAUUUUAGCUUUCACAAUUCUGAAAGACAGAAGAAUUUAAUAAGAAAUGAGAUAAAUUCUAGACAUAGUAGAGUCUUAUGCAAACUGCACAUAGUAUAUGAACCCUUGGGCAAUGAUGAGAUGCAUAGCAUAUUCCAAUAUUAUUUUUUUAUGUCAAAGCUAUUUUAAUAUAGAUUUUACAUCAAAGAUGGAAUGCAACAAAAGGCAAAAUCUUAAGACAGUAGGUUAUAUAGCUAUAACUGCAGCUUGAAUUUUAAUCAGGAAGAGCAAAAAUACUAGUUUGCUCUUUUAAAUAUCACAGCUGCACUGAUUCUUCUUAUGAUAACCUUCCAAAAUUAGAUGUAGCUGUAAGAAUCACAUACAGGUUAAUACCAAUUAACUCAGCCUCACAGUGUGAGAUAAUUUAGUAUUCCUGUGUUUACUUUCUGCUCACUUUAUUGUUUCACUUGAAAUAGUCUCAGGAUAAUCUGCUGCAUUUUUCCUAUGGCCAUUGAAUUGUAUUAGCCAGCAGCCCCAAUACUUAUUUGUGGAACUCCACUCUUUCAACAGCCCCAUCAGUGACAGCAUGAUUAUCUCAGGUCAGAGUCUUCUUGAACUUUUCUACAUUUUCUAUUGUCUCAAGCUGGCUUUCCUUGGAAACUGCAUUUCGCUAAUAUUUCAUGUCACCGAACAGAAACUUCAGUUAUACCAGUAUUGUAGAGGACUGGUCUUGGGAAGUUCCUACCGGGAAAUAGCCCUGAAUCUUUCUCCUUUCCUUGCUUAUUUUGUACAUCUGCAGUAGGGCUAGGGAAAUAAUGGGGUACUAUGUGGUAUAGGAAAAUUAUAUAGGAAGUGCUCAUUAUGUAGAAAGUCCACUGCAAUGUACACAAAGUAUUAUCACCCUGUUUGCUGUUUAAUAAUGCUGGAGCAAUUCAUUAGCUGACUGGAAGAGUAAUAAGAAAAUGCAUUCUUUUAUACUUUUAUAAUCGCAUGCUGUCUAUGUUUGUAUUUUUUGCUUCAUUCUUUCUUUUUACUCACACUACUUGGCAUUCACAUUGACACAGCAUCUAAAGACAUCAGUGAAGAUGGAUCAUACCGCUUCAGAAGCCAUAAAAAUAAUCUAUUACAGCCUAUGCUACAAAAAAGCGCAAUCUCAAAGAUUCCUGCUUUCUUUUCUCUUGACUUUAUAGUGCAGAAUGUUCUGCUUCCUGAUGCUCUUCUCAUUCUCCCGUUUUUGGUCCUUCAUUCUUGUUACACAUGGUUUCUAGCUCACUCUUUUCCUGCUCCCUGAGAUGUUCCCUUUCUGCUGGUAGUUGAUAUCCUCAAAAAGGUGCCCUUUGCUCCAUCUGUUCACAAUACCUACAUAUCCUACAUAGUCCUUUUUAGUUCCUAUCUCCUUUUACUGAGUCUUUCAAUAAACAUCAUGAAGAUCGGUAGGAAGAACAAUAGAAGUGAGAAGAUGCAACACCACACAGAAGGGCUCUUCAUUGCUCUUUACUUGAGAAAAGCUGAUUUGUGGGAAUCUUUCCCUAUAUGUAUUAUUACAUAAAAAUCAGUAAGGUCAUUUGAAGCUUGCGUGCUAAAUCUGUUAAAAUAAGAAGCCCUAAUCUUAUAAAAAUUUUCAUUUUCUCUAAUUGUCAUGAUUCCUAGGAUAUCUGGACAGGACCAAUCUGAUAGAGGAGCUAUUGCAUUUUCGCCAUACAGAAGCGCAGCACUUAUGUCCCAAUAUUACUCGCUUUCAGUUGUUGUAAGCAUCAGUUACCUAGGAAAGAAUUAUAAGAGGUCGCAGAGUAAGAAAAUGUCACUAGCACAGUAAGAAUUGAAACUCAUGUUUUUAAUUGAAAUGUCUUUGUUAUUUAAUUUUGUGACAGUUUAUAAUAUUAUAAACUCAAAAAUCUACACAAUUCUUUCUCAAAAUUGUAAAUGUGGUAGUCAAUUAAAAGACUAGAAAUAAAGAAUGGAUAAUAAAAGUUCUGAAUGAAUUUGUACUUAUGACAAGACUCCUAUUUGGUUCACAGGGAUUUUGGUGUUUUCACUGAUAUAGUUGAAAUACAAGAGAAAUUGAAAUACAUAUCAUUGGUCACAAAAAACCCACUUCUUUUUUUGUCAGAGUUUUGGAGAGUACAAUGCAUGCCUAUGGGAACAUCCUGCAAGGGAACCCCAACGCUCUGCUUGACAUUUCAUAAAGACCGUGACUGUACUUCCUUCAUCCCAGGGGCUUGGCUACCUGGGCUCAGUGCCAGUUCUGAUAAUGCAGUAGCCCAGCUCUGAAGCAGAGCUGUUUGAUAAAAAGCUGUAGAAGUCUCAACAAGGGUUCAUUCCUCUUCGCUCAGGAACUGUUUUUUUUUUUUUUUUUUCUUUGUGGUUUGUUUGUGUUGUGGUUUUUUUUGUUUGUUUGUUUGGGUUGGGUUUGUUUGUUUGGGGUUUUUUUGCUUUGUUUUUAACUCCCUGGGGAGUGCUGGGGGAUGCUCUUCAUCUCUGGAUGAGCUACUGUGAAAGUGCACCUUCACCCAGCCUUGUACCUUCCUAAUUCUGACCCUGAGCCUGAUUUGCUGACCUGACAUUUUGGCUUGACCUUAGACCCAUCUCAUCACUACCAGAUUUGCCUUGCAAUCUGAAUCAUUGUUUGGGCUAGAUCUGCUCUACUCGUGCACAGGUUCUGUGGGUCUGGAAACUUUUUUGCUAGGACCCUGCUCCAGCCUGCCUUGCUGUGAGUCUGAACUCUCAGCUCACCUCCCCUUCCCUUGCUGCUCUCCGAGACAUAUCAAAUCUUUUUCAUUAGGACCUAGAGUCUGUCUACUGAUCUAUACCACAGAAACUUUUCAAAUUGAGUCUGGGAUGCCAAGGAAAGGUACUGUGCCUCAAAGCCCUCAUUCUGAAUGACUACAUUUUCUUUCACACAUUGUUUUAUUCACAUCCUAAUUUUAGCAGACACUUUUAUUUCUUAAAUAGUAUUGUAGGUAUUAAUUCUUAACAUAUUAAUAAGCUACUGAAGUUAUCUUUAUUUUCAAAGAUCUUUGUGAUGAUAUGCCAGAUUUAAUCUUUUUUAGCUUUUGUUUUUUCUUUUUCAUUAUUUGUAGGAACUAAUGUUGGCUCAAAGAAUAUUCACUUCUGCUUCUUCAAGCUGUUCAUCUGAAAUCAAUUUGCAAUGCAAUGCAAGGAUAAUUUCAAAAUCAGUUAACCGUGAGCUCAGACAUGCCCCAAAGUUAGGUUGCAUGGAGGUUUUUUCCGCAAGAAUCUGGUCUCCAAGUGUAAUUAGCUGUCUCUGUGACACUGUUUCCUUCAAAAUAAGGCCAAUGAGGCAGUGAAUAGAACAAGGAAAGAGGCAAUAAUCUAAUCAUAGCAUGAUUCAUGGUCUAAGCUAAUAUGGCUACCUAAAGAAAUAUCAUAUAGGGAAAAUCUAUUUUACACUUCCACAGUGCCACCUACCUUUUUAUCCUGUGCUUUCCCUAUACACAGGUCUUCAUAUAAAAUACCUAUACCAUGCUCUUCAAGGAGAAAGCAGAGUCCUUGGCAAGUCCCUGACAGCGUAGUUCUAACAGAGCUGUGCUGGUGCUGUUGGGAGUUUGAGAGAUGUCAUAAAACUAUUUGACUCAAAAAUAUGAUCUUCAUGUUGACUCUACAAAUAUGAUCAUACUUCCAGCAUUACUUCUCAGAAUCCAGGCAAAUCCAGAGGAACUCUUGUUAACACUAUUACUUUAAUGAAAACAGGGGAAUACUCAGAGAUUAUUAUAACUUCAAACUGUAUCCUAGAACUGUUUAUUUUAAUUAUUUGGUAGUGAAUUAGUUAUAUUGAGGCUCCAUUAAAUUAUUUUUCCUAGAUUUUUCCUUGUUUUAAACCUCAGCCCACUUCUUCAUAUCGCACUGGGGCUUGGCCAAGCAGCCAUUAAUAAAUAAUAUUUUUUAAAAAUUAUUUUGUGUCUGAUUAGAGCUUUACUCCCAGUUCUCAAAUAUACCACUGAAAACAUAAUAGAGUUCUGUGUGCUUAAACUGUUGGUUUUGAUGUCUAAAGUCAAUCAAUAUAUUAUCAAUAAGUAUAUUAUUAAUCUAAGAUGUAGUACAAAUACGCACAAUAUUACGAAAGACUAUUCACAUUUUACUUUUCCUACAAUGUCUUUCUGAAAAACUAGAUCCUACAAUGACUAAUAUGCAUCUUGUUUGAGUCAUUUCAAUUGGAAGAGCCUUUAGAUGUGGGAUGAAAAAUGAAUUCCUUAAAAAAAAUAUAAAAAAGCAGGUGCAGUUUCCUCUUCUGAAGCAUACCAAUCCAGAGGAUUUGCUCACUAAAGCAGCAAGCCUGUAACUUUAUACUGAAAAAAAUACUUCUUGUUUUCAUUUGACCUGUACUGAAAAUAAAACUCAAUGUCUGUCUUCAGAGGCAUGUAAUUUAAACAAUCACUUUAAAUGAUCUCAGGGCUGUUCAACAAGAAUUGAAGGUUCUUUCUGUGGGGUUCCUUCAGUCUUCUCUCACAGCCUUGAACGCUUGUUAAUGAAGAGCAGAAAAGUUUUCGUAUUGCACAAUGUAAAAGAUAAGAUAUAUUAUUUUCUCCAUAGUGUUUAAGCAAGCGAAGCGCUUAAGGUUUGGUUGUUCCUAGAAAGUCAGAGUACAUCCAUCUUCACACUGAGGGUGUUAUAUAGGUGCUAAGGCUGGAGACUGUAUCUUACAGAGAGUGGAAGCAGCCUUCUACUCUUUCCUGUUACAUUUGCUCUAAUGUAAAGCAUUUCAAAAGGCUAAAGUUGGAAAAGAACUAAAAUUAAUGGCUCCAGGAAGCCUGGGAAUUUUAGGGGUUUUAAUAUUCUACUUUAAAAAAAAAAAAACCCACACUUUUUUCCCCCAUUUUAAAGCAUGGAAAAGACUCCUGUGUCUCCAUAACUGACUGGGUUUCUCAGAUGGUAUUAUUGCUAGACCUAAAGUCACCAGUAGUCUCUAUGUUCAGAUAUAUUUCAAAGAUAUACAUAGACUCUGAGCAGUUUUAUGAACUCUUUCUCAGACCUUAUACGCAGUAACUUUGUUCACUGUGAUAAAAUGGCAAUUUAAGAGCAGCAGGCUAUUGCAAUACGACAGGUUUUUUGACAUUAAACAGAAUAAUUUGAAUUUAUGCAAGAUAAGAAGCCUGUAUACGUUUUGAAACAACUAAAUUUUAGUCCAGAAUUAUGUGAUGCAAAUAGACCUAUGCAUUCAAAAAAAUCACUUUUUACUUCCCUCCCCCCACUUAGAAUGUAAUAUGUGUUUCUAUAUCAUUAAAAUAAAGGAUGAAUCAUUCAACAGUAAGAUGGCAUUUAAAUAGCAUACAGAUGAAAAAUCAGUUCUAUAACUAACCUGAAACAGAAUAAUAACAACACAGUGCUGCUUGUAUUACCUACACUGCACUAGGAUUUGGUAAUCUACUUUGAACAUUAAAUACUCAAUGCAAAUGAAAAGUUAAACUGCAAUAUAUGUGCAUUUACUUUUUCCUCUCAGUGUCAAUUAAUCCCAUACCAUGUGAACCAAUUUCUUAAAAUCUCUUUCUUUUGGCACAAUUACAGUCACAUUAUAAACUAUUUACAUUACAUAUGUUAAUACAAAACAGGUCAGUAAACUAACUUCAAAAAGGAAAGAUUUGCUAGGAUCCUGUGAGCACUCGUGAAGUGUGCCAUCAUUGCAGAGCACUACAUGUUACUGUUUAAACUUCCUGGUUAUAAAUUCCUUACAUGCAUAAUCUCAAAACUCUCUCUGCAGAACCAUGUUUCGAAUUUAAGUUUCCUUUUUUUAUUUUUGUCAAGUAACAAUGUGAUUCUUAAAAUAGUCUGGCAUUAUCAGGCUAUGUGCCAUAGUCUGUUUAUUGUGAUUCAGAGCUAGAAUGUUUGUUGAUAACAAGCAUGGCUAACUCUGCAUCAGCAGUGAAUAUGUGAUGACAUUGAAAUCUGUCUCUUUACAUGUCUGAUUUUUCUUUUGAAGUUUUCCCUCACCUUUAAAUAGAGGGCUCACGUUUAUUUUUGCCUGCUGUCACCACACUUCCAGAGCUGUCUUAAAAGAAUGUUUGCCUUGAUACAGUAGCAUUAGCUAGAAAAAGUGUGCUGGGUAGAAAGCUGAAAAAGCCAUGUGAACCUCAGAUUUCUACUCAGGUUAUAAUUUAUCUUUCAUAUUACAAAUCCUAGACUGCCAGUGGUACAGCAAAUGCUUUCCCUUUUGAGGAAGAUUCUGUAGACAGUAUCCUCUGUCCACUUAGCUAUGAUUUUUUUCUAAGACUCCUCUGACCUAAUGCAAACCCCUGAUUUUUCCCCUUUCCUGAAAAGAACUGAUAGUAAAUAAGUCUAUAGAUUCCCAACUCAGAUUGUCUUCCCCAACUUCUACAUAUAGACACUUUGCACCUGAAGAAUUUUCAAGAUUAUUAAUUGCUUCCUGUGAUAGAAUUCACAGACCAAAUAGAGGAAGCCUAGCUGCGAACAGGUGAAGGAAUCGCACAGCCUCCAGUCUGCAAAACGCAAUAUCGAAUUUGAGGCAACGCAAUGUUACAAAGUCAUUCGAGAAGCAGGGACCCCAGGCAUUUAGUUUCCAUGCCCAGGUUCUGGCUGCCGAAGCUAGCCGGGUGUUAGUGGUGAGGAAAGACGGUGACAGUUACCAGCCUUCGCGCCAGUCCCAGGCACUUCAGCUGCCCAAGGUAAACCUUUGCUUCUCCAGAGACAACAACUCACCUGAGCAGGACCGCGGCUUCCCACAGAUAAAAUCCCGAGACAGCGGUGCGGA